Molecule: unclassified non-coding RNA, 377 nt
Filed under: Zea mays
Lineage: Eukaryota; Viridiplantae; Streptophyta; Magnoliopsida; Poales; Poaceae
Description: misc RNA Zm00001eb245820
Source: RNAcentral
GAUAGAUCUUUCUAUGGAACACCAGAUUUCGAAUGUCGAUAUUGCAAGGCAGUCUUCUGGUAUCGUGAAAGAGCUCGUGGUAAACAUAUUGAUGGAUCUAUACUAUACAACAAUUGUUGCAAGGGUGGUAAAAUAGCAAUACCACCAUACAAACCACAUCCUGAACCAUUGGCUACACUGGCUAGAUUUGAUGGGGAUUCAAUAUCUAAGAAGUUCAUGCGCAACAUAAGACAAUACAAUUGUCUAUUUGCUUUCACUUCAAUGGGAGCUAACAUUGAUAACAAUGUCAAUGAUGGUCGUGGGCCACCUCUGUUUAAAAUAUGUGGACAAGUUCUGAAAGGGAAAUAGGCUUUAAACCUUUUCCUAAAUGAUUUUGG